GUGCUAGCUUCGGCAGCACAUAUACUAAAAUUGGAACGAUACAGAGAAGAUUAGCAUGGCCCCUGUGCAAGGAUGAUAUGCAAAUUCGUGAAGCGUUCCAUGUUUUU
This 107-nucleotide small nuclear RNA is filed under the name Pelobates cultripes (western spadefoot toad). Lineage: Eukaryota; Metazoa; Chordata; Amphibia; Anura; Pelobatidae. The record is from RNAcentral.